Molecule: ribosomal RNA, 783 nt
Filed under: uncultured bacterium
Lineage: Bacteria
Description: bacterial SSU rRNA
Rfam family: Bacterial small subunit ribosomal RNA
Source: RNAcentral
AGAGUUUGAUCCUGGCUCAGGACGAACGCUGGCGGCGUGCUUAACACAUGCAAGUCGAACGGUAAGGCCCUUCGGGGUACACGAGUGGCGAACGGGUGAGUAACACGUGGGUAAUCUGCCCUGCACAUCGGGAUAAGCCUGGGAAACUGGGUCUAAUACCGAAUAGGACCACAGGACACAUGUCCUGUGGUGGAAAGCUUUUGCGGUGUGGGAUGGGCCCGCGGCCUAUCAGCUUGUUGGUGGGGUGAUGGCCUACCAAGGCGACGACGGGUAGCCGGCCUGAGAGGGUGUCCGGCCACACUGGGACUGAGAUACGGCCCAGACUCCUACGGGAGGCAGCAGUGGGGAAUAUUGCACAAUGGGCGAAAGCCUGAUGCAGCGACGCCGCGUGGGGGAUGACGGCCUUCGGGUUGUAAACCUCUUUCACCAUCGACGAAGGUCCGGGUUUUCUCGGGCUGACGGUAGGUGGAGAAGAAGCACCGGCCAACUACGUGCCAGCAGCCGCGGUAAUACGUAGGGUGCGAGCGUUGUCCGGAAUUACUGGGCGUAAAGAGCUCGUAGGUGGUUUGUCGCGUUGUUCGUGAAGUCUCACGGCUUAACUGUGAGCGUGCGGGCGAUACGGGCAGACUUGAGUACUGCAGGGGAGACUGGAAUUCCUGGUGUAGCGGUGGAAUGCGCAGAUAUCAGGAGGAACACCGGUGGCGAAGGCGGGUCUCUGGGCAGUAACUGACGCUGAGGAGCGAAAGCGUGGGGAGCGAACAGGAUUAGAUACCCUGGUAGUCC